Molecule: non-coding RNA, 187 nt
Filed under: Phycisphaerae bacterium
Lineage: Bacteria; Pseudomonadati; Planctomycetota; Phycisphaerae
Description: 6S RNA
Rfam family: 6S / SsrS RNA
About the family: E. coli 6S RNA was the first non coding RNA to be sequenced, but its function was unknown until recently. It consists of 184 nucleotides that fold into an extended hairpin structure with a large single-stranded internal bulge.
Source: RNAcentral
UGACCCCUGCUGUGUGCGUGAUAGGCGCUGCUAUUUGGAAGAACCGAUGAGAUCCCCACGGGAGGCCAUGGUCGGUAUCGGAUCGAAUAUGCCCGUUCGUCGGGACAUUCGGACGACCGCAACGGCUGCCCACGUUGAAAUACGGGGUUACUUUCAUAAGGCUCCUCACGGCAUGUGCGGAGGUCGU